RNAcentral lists this ribosomal RNA (482 nucleotides) under uncultured bacterium. Its description in RNAcentral is "bacterial SSU rRNA". It matches the Rfam family "Bacterial small subunit ribosomal RNA", at positions 30 to 507 of the family's 1533-position model. The record is from RNAcentral.
AUUGAACGCUGGCGGCAUGCCUUACACAUGCAAGUCGAACGGUAACAGGUCUUCGGAUGCUGACGAGUGGCGAACGGGUGAGUAAUACAUCGGAACGUGCCCGAUCGUGGGGGAUAACGGAGCGAAAGCUUUGCUAAUACCGCAUGCGAUCUACGGAUGAAAGCAGGGGACCGCAAGGCCUUGCGCGGACGGAGCGGCCGAUGGCAGAUUAGGUAGUUGGUGGGAUAAAAGCUUACCAAGCCGACGAUCUGUAGCUGGUCUGAGAGGACGACCAGCCACACUGGGACUGAGACACGGCCCAGACUCCUACGGGAGGCAGCAGUGGGGAAUUUUGGACAAUGGGCGCAAGCCUGAUCCAGCCAUGCCGCGUGCAGGAUGAAGGCCUUCGGGUUGUAAACUGCUUUUGUACGGAACGAAAAGACUCUUUCUAAUAAAGAGGGUCCAUGACGGUACCGUAAGAAUAAGCACCGGCUAACUACGUG